GAAUUUCCACGACUGAGGAAAUACUUAAGUUUGCCUCAGAAUUCUUUGGCAAGCUUUUUCGACCUCGGAUUCGGGUCCUGAUGAGCGGGUUUUUGAUUUAGUGGAAAAGUUAAUGAUGACAUGAAUAAAUUCCUUCUCCAACAAGUUACAGAGGAAGAUAUUUCCCGUGUAGUUAAAUUCAUGGCGCCACUGAAAGCCCCC
This 201-nucleotide long non-coding RNA is filed under the name Gossypium barbadense (sea-island cotton). RNAcentral describes it as "long non-coding RNA (GBAR_LNC002730)". The record is from RNAcentral. Lineage: Eukaryota; Viridiplantae; Streptophyta; Magnoliopsida; Malvales; Malvaceae.